UAUAAAGUGGCGAACGGCUGAGUAACACGUGGGCAACCUGCCCUUUGCACUGGAAUAGCCUCGGGAAACCGAGGUUAAUACCGGAUACUCCAUAUUUGUCGCAUGGCGAAUAUGGGAAAGCUCCGGCGGCAAAGGAUGGGCCCGCGGCCUGUUAGCUAGUUGGUGGGGUAGUGGCCUACCAAGGCAAUGAUGGGUAGCCGGGUUGAGAGACCGACCGGCCAGAUUGGGACUGAGACACGGCCCAGACUCCUACGGGAGGCAGCAGUA
Molecule: ribosomal RNA, 267 nt
Filed under: uncultured Atopobium sp.
Lineage: Bacteria; Bacillati; Actinomycetota; Coriobacteriia; Coriobacteriales; Atopobiaceae
Description: partial 16S ribosomal RNA
Rfam family: Bacterial small subunit ribosomal RNA
Source: RNAcentral